CUGGGAUAAGCCUGGGAAACUGGGUCUAAUACCGGAUAUGACCUUCCAUCGCAUGGUGGUUGGUGGAAAGCUUUUGUGGUUUUGGAUGGACUCGCGGCCUAUCAGCUUGUUGGUGGGGUAAUGGCCUACCAAGGCGACGACGGGUAGCCGGCCUGAGAGGGUGACCGGCCACACUGGGACUGAGACACGGCCCAGACUCCUACGGGAGGCAGCAGUGGGGAAUAUUGCACAAUGGGCGAAAGCCUGAUGCAGCGACGCCGCGUGAGGGAUGACGGCCUUCGGGUUGUAAACCUCUUUCAGUAGGGAAGAAGCGUAAGUGACGGUACCUGCAGAAGAAGCGCCGGCUAACUACGUGCCAGCAGCCGCGGUAAUACGUAGGGCGCAAGCGUUAUCCGGAAUUAUUGGGCGUAAAGAGCUCGUAGGCGGUUUGUCGCGUCUGCCGUGAAAGUCCGGGGCUCAACUCCGGAUCUGCGGUGGGUACGGGCAGACUAGAGUGAUGUAGGGGAGACUGGAAUUCCUGGUGUAGCGGUGAAAUGCGCAGAUAUCAGGAGGAACACCGAUGGCGAAGGCAGGUCUCUGGGCAUUAACUGACGCUGAGGAGCGAAAGCAUGGGGAGCGAACAGGAUUAGAUACCCUGGUAGUCCAUGCCGUAAACGUUGGGCACUAGGUGUGGGGGACAUUCCACGUUUUCCGCGCCGUAGCUAACGCAUUAAGUGCCCCGCCUGGGGAGUACGGCCGCAAGGCUAAAACUCAAAGGAAUUGACGGGGGCCCGCACAAGCGGCGGAGCAUGCGGAUUAAUUCGAUGCAACGCGAAGAACCUUACCAAGGCUUGACAUGAACCGGACCGCUGCAGAAAUGUGGUUUCCCCUUUGGGGCUGGUUUACAGGUGGUGCAUGGUUGUCGUCAGCUCGUGUCGUGAGAUGUUGGGUUAAGUCCCGCAACGAGCGCAACCCUCGUUCUAUGUUGCCAGCACGUGAUGGUGGGGACUCAUAGGAGACUGCCGGGGUCAACUCGGAGGAAGGUGGGGACGACGUCAAAUCAUCAUGCCCCUUAUGUCUUGGGCUUCACGCAUGCUACAAUGGCCGGUACAAAGGGUUGCGAUACUGUGAGGUGGAGCUAAUCCCAAAAAGCCGGUCUCAGUUCGGAUUGGGGUCUGCAACUCGACCCCAUGAAGUCGGAGUUGCUAGUAAUCGCAGAUCAGCAACGCUGCGGUGAAUACGUUCCCGGG
This 1229-nucleotide ribosomal RNA is filed under the name Pseudarthrobacter enclensis. RNAcentral describes it as "bacterial SSU rRNA". It matches the Rfam family "Bacterial small subunit ribosomal RNA", at positions 138 to 1378 of the family's 1533-position model. Lineage: Bacteria; Bacillati; Actinomycetota; Actinomycetes; Micrococcales; Micrococcaceae. The record is from RNAcentral.